RNAcentral lists this transfer RNA (74 nucleotides) under Euryarchaeota archaeon RBG_16_68_12. RNAcentral's name for it is "tRNA-Gly". It matches the Rfam family "tRNA". Rfam says of the family: Transfer RNA (tRNA) molecules are approximately 80 nucleotides in length. Their secondary structure includes four short double-helical elements and three loops (D, anti-codon, and T loops). RNAcentral also lists the same sequence under 3 other names. Lineage: Archaea; Methanobacteriati; Methanobacteriota. The record is from RNAcentral.
GCGGCGAUAAUAUAGCCUGGUUAGUAUGAUGGCUUGCCAAGCCAUCUGCCCGGGUUCAAAUCCCGGUCGCCGCA